CGUGUAGGCGGUUGGGUAAGUCAGAUGUGAAAGCCUUCUUCUUAACAGAAGAAGUGCAUUUGAAACUGCUCGGCUAGAGUACGGGAGAGGAGAGUGGAAUUCCCGGUGUAGAGGUGAAAUUCGUAGAUAUUCGGAGGAACACCGGUGGCGAAGGCGGCUUCCUGGCAUGUAACUGACACUCAUGUUCGAAAGCGUGGGGAGCAAACAGGAUUAGAUACCCUGGUAGUCCACGCCCUAAACGAUGGGCACUAGGUGUGGGAGGUAUCGACCCCUUCCGUGCCGCAGCUAACGCAUUAAGCGCCCCGCCUGGGGAGUACGGCCGCAAGGUUGAA
This 332-nucleotide ribosomal RNA is filed under the name uncultured bacterium. RNAcentral's name for it is "bacterial SSU rRNA". It matches the Rfam family "Bacterial small subunit ribosomal RNA", at positions 568 to 898 of the family's 1533-position model. The record is from RNAcentral.